Long non-coding RNA from Tachysurus fulvidraco (yellow catfish), 2978 nucleotides. RefSeq lists it as uncharacterized. The transcript is spliced from 2 exons. Lineage: Eukaryota; Metazoa; Chordata; Actinopteri; Siluriformes; Bagridae. The record is from RefSeq and is a predicted model, not a curated record.
GGUGUCGCUCUAGAAUGGGUGCGUAUGAGGCUGGGAGGGGGGAAAAAAUCACAGUAUACUCAGUACAAAAAACUAGACUAGUGUCUACUGUAUGUAUAACAUUUGUUUCCGCCCGGUUUCGAACCGGGGACCUUUCGCGUGUGAGGCGAACGUGAUAACCACUACACUACGGAAACUUUGCUUGUUCUAUUAGUGGUACAAACUGGGGAGCUACAUACAUUCACUUGAACGCGCUGGAUCACUAGUAGUAUUGGACCAUCCCGGUGAAACACGUGCACAGGUAUUUUUUUUCCCAGUGCGGGACUUGAACAUCGACUACGUACCCAGGGACGUUUUUUCUUAUUAUUGUACAUAGAUACAAAUAAAAGAUGAUGCGUGUGAAGCUAUUAUCUGUUUAUUAGCACCAUUGUGACUUUUAAAGCUGGUACUUGGCUAAUUAUGACACAUUCUUGACAGUUUUAAAAACAGAUGAAUGUUUGUUCGAGAUCAUACCAAUUAUAUUGCUGUUUGUCUGAUGGAAGCAUAACGACUCCGGCAAAUUUACCGGGCAAAACUAAUGGUAGUAUUGUGGCACAUCAGGGUACAUUUUUAACUGGCACCACCUCAAUUUCCAUACUUGCACGUGCUUAUGUUUAAAGUAAGCUCAACACUGGUUGCAGCUUUUUGUAUACCUAAUUGUGUUUUGUUUUAAAUGGCACCACCUCACUUUCCAUACUUGCACGUUUGGGUUAUCUAUAUGGUGAAAAGUAAGGUCAGCAUUGAUUGCAGGUUUUUGUAUACUCUCCAUCUAAUCGCAGUUCAUAAAGUUAUAGACUGUGUGUAAAGCUGGAUAAUGUGAUUUAGCUAUGUGUUGACAAAGAGCUAUAAAACACGUGUUUCCGCCCGGUUUCGAACCGGGGACCUUUCGCGUGUGAGGCGAACGUGAUAACCACUACACUACGGAAACUUCGCUUGCUCUGUCGGAUCCUGUUGGUGGUGCAAACUGGGGUUAUAGCGUAGCCAGCUUUUUUAACCUAUUUGUUUAUUACAGUUUUUUUCUGAAUGCUUAAGCGCUAAUCGUGAUUCUUGUAGCACAAUUUCUAAAACUAUUAAUAAGUAUAGCAAAACCACUCACUGAGUUUGCAAAACUAAAAACACAAACACUGCUUUGCACUCAGUUUGCAAUGUUGUAACACACACUUUGCAAAACUGUAGGCACAAUUCACUGCACAACACUCUUUUUGCAGAACUUUAAACACAACUCACUGCUUACACUAAUUACCAAAUUUCCAACACACUCCUAGCAAAAUUACACACACGUAUGGCUAUCAUUAACACUAUUUUGCCAACUGUCUGGCACACUUUCACAUGUGAAAACUGUUUUAGAUCAUUAGUUCACUUUGCAAUCAGCCUAAGCACUAUAAAUAAGCCACAGGUAAGCUGUCUGUGUGGAGUACGAUGGAAGGAGCAGUAAGAGUGAGAAGAGUGAGAAUCAGAGGAGGCCGAGGGAGAGGACGUGGAGGUGAAGAAAGAGGAGGAAGAGGACGUGGAGGUGAAGGAAGAGGAGGAAGAGGACGCGGAGGUGAAGAAGUAGGAGGAAGGGGAGGAGGAAGAGGACGUGGAGGUGUAGAAGUAGGAGGAAGAGGACAUGGAGUUGAAGAUUCGAGAGUGUUAGAGGAAGACGACAAGGAGGAGCAAGAAGAGGACGAGGAGGGGAAAGAGGAAGGGUAAGAAGAGUAAGAAAUGGAAUAACUGAUGACAUCAGAGCUACAAUAGUGGACCAUGUCAUCAACCAUGGGAUGACCCAGAGGGAAGCUGGCCAACGGGUUCAGCCUAAUUUGAGCCGCUACACUGUGGCAAGCAUCAUUAGGACAUUUUGAAAUAAGAAUCGAAUUGCUAGACAUCCAGAUGCUGGGGGCAGAGGAAGAAUGUUCACUCCAGAGCAAGAGACCCAUAUAGUGAACAUGGUGAUUGCCAAUAAUGCAAUAAGACUGCGCGAAAUACAGCAGAGCAUAAUUGAUAAUGAUACCAUCUUUCAAAAUAUACACAGUGUAAGCAUUUCUGCACUAAGUCGUGUACUUGCACGCCACAGAAUAAGAAUGAAGCAAAUUUACAGAGUUCCUUUCGAGAGAAACACAGAACGUGUAAAGCAACUGCGAUAUGACUAUGUGCAGGGAAGUUAUAGUGUCAUUGGUUCUGAAUUUGGAAGUGCAUACUGUAGUGCUGUGCAUGGGCCUGAUGUGUUGCAUUUGUUCUGUCUUGUCCAGAGAGUGAUGGAACUAGAAGCAGAUGCCAUGGGACAUACUUUUUGUAGAUGAGGCCGGUUUUAACAUCAGUAAAACCAGGAGACGUGGCAGGAACAUUAGUGGACACCGUGCCAUCAUCAAUGUCCCAGGACAACGUGGUGGUAACAUAACCAUGUGUGCAGCUAUAAGCCAAAAUGGUGUUGUUCACCAUCGUGCAACCAUAGGCCCAUACAACACUGCACACAUUAUUGCAUUCCUGGACACCUUACAUGACAUGCUCACUGUUCAGGGACCAGAGCAUACCCGAUAUGUCAUCAUAUGGGACAAUGUUAGUUUCCACAGGGCUGCUUUGGUCCGCAACUGGUUUACAGACCACCCAUUCUUCAUGGCACUUAACCUCCCUCCAUACUCUCCAUUCUUAAAUCCCAUCGAGGAGUUCUUCUCUGCCUGGCGCUGGAAAGUGUAAGACCGUCAUCCUCAUCAACAGGUAGCCCUUUUACAGGCAAUGGAGGAGGCAUGUGGAGAUAUUGAUCAGGCAUCAUGUCAGGCCUGGAUACGGCAUUCAAGGACAUAUUUUCCCGGUGCCUUGGACUGGAGGAUAUCGCAUGCGAUGUGGACGAAAUUUUGGGGCCGGACCCAGAAAGACGACAUGAUGUAGGCUGAUUGUUGUUGUUUUUUUUUUUGUGAAAUUACUAUUUUGUGUUCUGACUUUGUCUUGGUUUUGAUGAGUGUGAAUAAACACCAAUACUUGAA